This 301-nucleotide ribosomal RNA is filed under the name uncultured bacterium. RNAcentral's name for it is "partial 16S ribosomal RNA". It matches the Rfam family "Bacterial small subunit ribosomal RNA", at positions 509 to 807 of the family's 1533-position model. The record is from RNAcentral.
CAGUCGCCGCGGUAAUACAGAGGGUGCGAGCGUUAAUCGGAUUUACUGGGCGUAAAGCGUGCGUAGGCGGCUUUUUAAGUCGGAUGUGAAAUCCCUGAGCUUAACUUAGGAAUUGCAUUCGAUACUGGGAAGCUAGAGUAUGGGAGAGGAUGGUAGAAUUCCAGGGGUAGCGGUGAAAUGCGUAGAGAUCUGGAGGAAUACCGAUGGCGAAGGCAGCCAUCUGGCCUAAUACUGACGCUGAGGUACGAAAGCAUGGGGAGCAAACAGGAUUAGAUACCCCUGUAGUCCCUGUCUCUUAUAC